UAUUAGUUUUUUGAGGAACCUCCAAACUGUUCUCCAUAGUGGUUGUACUCAUUUACAUUCCCACUGUGAACCCUGAAAAUUUGAGGCAGGUCUCAGUUAAAUUAGAAAGUUGAUUUUGCCAAGUUGGGGACACGCACUCGUGACACAGCCUCAGGAGGAACUGAUGACAUGUGCCCAGGUGGUCAGAGCACAGCUUGGUUUUAUACAUUUUAGGGAAACCUGAGCCAUCAAUCAACAUACGUAAAAUGGGCCGGGCACAGCAGCUCAAGCUGUAAUCCCAGCACUCUGGGAGGCCGAGGCGGGUGGAUCACUUGAGGUCAGGAGUUCGAGACCAGCCUGGCCAACAUGGUGAAACCCCGUCUCUAUUAAAAAUACAAAGCUUAGCUGGAUGUGGUGGCGCAUGCCUGUAGUCCCAGCUGCUCUAGGAGGCUGAGGCAUGAGAAUUGCUUGAACCUGGGAGGCAGAGGCUGCAGUGAGCCGAGAUCGAGCCACUAUACUCCAGCCUGGUCAACAGAGUGAGACCCUGUCUCAAAAAAAAAAAAAAAAUGUAAAAUGAACAUGGUUCAGUCCGGAAAGGCGGGAGAACUUGAAGGAAAAGCAGGACAACUCAAUGCAGGCAUGAGGCUUCCAGGUCAUAGGAAGAAAAGAGACAAAUAGUUGCAUUCUUUUGAGUUGAUGAUUAGCCUCUCCAAAGGAGGGAAGCAGAUAUGCAUUAAUCUCAGUGAGCGGAGGGGUGACUUUGAAUAGAACGGGAGGUGGGUUUGCUUUAAGCAAUUCCCAGCUUGACUUUUCCCUUUAGCUUCGUAAUUCUGGGGGCCUAAGAUAUUUUCCUUUCACACCACCAGCAGUGUACGGAGGUUCCCUUUUCUCCACAUCCUCGCUAGCAUUUGUUAUUUUCUUUUUUUUGGAUAAAGCCAUUUUAACUGGGGUGACGUGGCAUCUCAUUGUAGUUUUGAUUUGCAGUUCUCUGAUCAGUGAUGUCAAGUACCUUUUCAUAUGCCUGUUUUGGGUUGAGUACCUUUCAUAUGCCUGUUUGCCAUUUAUAUGUCUUCUUUGGGGAAAUAUGUAUUCAAAUCUUUUGCCCAUUUUUAAUUGGAUUACUAGGAUUUUUUUCCUAUAGACUUGUUUGAGAUCCUUAUAUUUUCUGAUUAUUAAUCUCUUGUCAGAUGGCAGUUUUCUUAGUUUUUUGCCAUCAUGGUUUCAGAAAGAUCAGAGUCCAAUCUCAGAACACCUUGUCAUUUUUCCUGCAUGGAUUUCUCAUCUUUAUCCACUAUUUCUCUGAAAUCAUUCAGCUUGCUAAUGUUGCCCCCAGUGGUUUUUUUUUUUAAAUAAUAUUGGCCAGGUACGGUGGCUCAUGCCUGUAAUCCCAGCACUUGGGAGGCCAAGGCAGGAGGAUCACUUGAGCCCAGGGAGUUUGAGACCAGCCUGGAUAACACAGUGAGACUCUGCCUCUUAAAAUAAUAAUAAUAAUAAAAGUAUUGAUGGGGGCUGAGCGCGGUGGCUCACGCCUAUAAUCCCAGCACUUUGGGAGGCCGAGGUGGGCGGGUCACCUGAGAUCAGGAGUUUGAGACCAGCCUGGCCAAUAUGGUGAAACCCUGUCUCUACUAAAAAUACAAAAAAAAAUCACCGGGCAUGGUGGUGCACACCUGUAAUCCCAGCUACUUGGGAGGCUGAGGCAUGAGAAUCACUUGAACCUGGGAGGCAGUGGUUGCAGUGAGCUGAGAUCGUGCCAUUACAUUCCAGACUGGGCGACAGCACGAGACUCUGUCUCAAAAAUUAAUAACAAUAAUAAUAUGAUGGGAAGAGAGAGUUGGGAGAGGGCUGAAAAAUUACUUUUUGGGCACUGUGCUCAUUACUUGGGUGAUGAGAUCAAUCCUACCCAAAACCUCAGGGUCACACAAUGUACCCAUGGAACAAGCCUGCAGUGUACCCCCUGCAUCUAAAAUAAAAGUUGAAAUAAAAAUGAUAAUAAUAUUAGGAGGCUGAAGUGGGAGGAUUGCUUGAGCCCAGGAGUUUGAGGCUACAGUGAGCUUUGAUUAUUCCACUGCACUCCGGCCUGGACAACAGAGUAAGACCCUGUCUCAAAUAAAAUAAUAAUAGGCCGGGCAUGGUGGCUCAUGCCUGUAAUCCCAGCACUUUGGGAGGCCGAGGCGGGUGGAUCACGAGGUGAGGAGUUUGAGACCAGCCUGACCAACAUGGUGAAACCCCGUCUCUACUAAAAAUAUAAAAAUUAGCUGGGCACAGUGGCACGCGCCUGUAGUCCCAGCUACUCAGGAGGCUGAGGCAGGAGAAUUGCUUGAACCUGGGAGGUGGAGGUUGCAGUGAGCUGAGAUCGCGCCACUGCACUCCAGCCUGGGCGACAGAGCGAGACUCCGUCUCAAAAAAAAUAUAAUAAUAAUGAUAAUAAUAGUAAUACAGUAGCCUCCAGCACCUGGGCUCUGGGAUGGCUGGGAGGUGCUCCUUGGGGAGCCCCUGCUGACCCGGCUCCCUCGGGGCACAGCCUUCAUCCUCCCCAAGGCAGAGGUGUGCGUGCGGAACCAUGUCCAGCCCUACAUCCCAUCCAUCCUGGAGGCCCUGAUGGUCCCCACCAGCCAGGGCUUCACUGAGGUGCGAGAUGUCUUCUUCAAGGAGGUCACGGACAUGAACCUGAACGUCAUCAACGAGGGCGGCAUUGACAAGCUGGGCGAGGUGAGGCCGGCACCGCCCCUAGGAGGGGGUCUCCUGAGAGUAGGUCUGGUCUGUCCCAGAGGGCCCCGGCUGCGUGACUCCGGGCAGCCGUUCCCCUCCAAGGCCGUCCCUGUAGACGGGGAGGGGCUGCUGGGGACUAGGGGCAGAGGCUGUGAGGCCAGGGCUGUUGGAGUCCUCGUGGGGCCUGCAGUUUGAGGAAAGAGGGAACAUUAGCUCCCGGCCACCAGCCUUUAGAAACCAAGAGUGGUGCUAAAAUAGAAAAGAAUUUAACAGAAGAGAGGGAAGGAGGGAAGGAGAGGAGGGGAGAGGGAAGGAGGGAAGGAGAGGAGGGAAGGAGGGAAGGAGAGGAGGGAAGGAGGGAAGGAGAGGAGGGGAGAGGGAAGGGCGGGCUUCAGGUGGAGUAAUGAGAUUGAUAAGGAAGAAUUCACAAGUCACGCGCCCUCCAAAUGGAGACAGCCGUUGCCCUUACUUGACCUCAGUUAUCUGGCUCUCGGGGUGAACGUCCUUCCACAGUCUCCAUCUUGGGCUGGCUGCCCGGAGCCCGCAUAGUUGUCAGAUUGAAUUUAUCCUGUAUCUUAGUUUCCUCCUUUAUACUCUGAAAUGGGGAGUCCACAGACCAUAAUAAUCCCAGAAUCUGAGACCUGGAGAGGACCUUGGAGAGCAGGAAAGCUCUCUCCCAAUUUUGAAGCUGAGGAAACUGAGGCUCAGAGAGGGUGAAUGACUUGCCCAAGGUCACCCAGCACCUCAGAAGGGAUGAGUGCCUUCUGCCGGCACCGAGGCUGCCUCUCCACAGCGCUGUGCCACUGGACUGCGCCCUCCAUGCCUUCAGAGCCUCAUGCUUCUGUCCUGGGCCCUCCUGGGUUUACCUUUGUGGCCAUGAGCACCAGGUGGCCAUCCCUGGUAGCAGGCGCCAGCCCCAGGGCCUGGACUUCGAGGACCCAGGCAAAGUGUGUGGGGGGUGCUGCCUGGCCACAGGGCGGCCCUGCUCAGCCCCCGCGGCCCCGGCCCCUGCAGUACAUGGAGAAGCUGUCCCGGCUGGCGUACCACCCCCUGAAGAUGCAGAGCUGCUAUGAGAAGAUGGAGUCGCUGCGACUGGACGGGCUGCAGCAGCGAUUUGAUGUGUCCAGCACGUCCGUGUUCAAGCAGCGAGCCCAGAUCCACAUGCGGGAGGUAGACCCGAGGCUACGACCCCCACCCCACACCCUGUCCACUGCCUUCCACAGGCCCCCUCGCCCAGGGGGUCCCUUCUGCUCCGUCCCGUCAUGCCAUAGCCACGCUUGCCUGGCACGCUCUCUCCUCCUCUGCUUGGAACAUCUGUGCCUCUGCCCACCUGGCUAAUUCUGACUCACUUCCCAGGUCUCAGCUUA
This 4055-nucleotide long non-coding RNA is filed under the name Homo sapiens (human). RNAcentral's name for it is "non-protein coding lnc-RPL12-2:1". The record is from RNAcentral. Lineage: Eukaryota; Metazoa; Chordata; Mammalia; Primates; Hominidae.